GACGAACGCUGGCGGCGUGCUUAACACAUGCAAGUCGAACGGAAAGGCCCUGCUGGCAGGGUGCUCGAGUGGCGAACGGGUGAGUAACACGUGGGUGAUCUGCCCCUUACUUUGGGAUAAGCCCGGGAAACUGGGUCUAAUACUGGAUAGGACCAUGCUGUAGGUGGUGUGGUGGAAAGAUUAGUUUCGGUAAGGGAUGAGCUCGCGGCCUAUCAGCUUGUUGGUGGGGUAAUGGCCUACCAAGGCGUCGACGGGUAGCCGGCCUGAGAGGGUGGACGGCCAAAUUGGGCCUGAGUUACGGACCAGACUCCUAAGGGAGGCAGCAGUGGGGAGUAUUGCACAAUGGGCGCAAGCCUGAUGCAGCGACGCCGCGUGGGGGAUGAAGGCCUUCGGGUUGUAAACUCCUUUCAGCCAUGACGAAGCCCUUGUGGUGACGGUAGUGGUAGAAGAAGCACGGGCUAACUACGUG
RNAcentral lists this ribosomal RNA (469 nucleotides) under uncultured bacterium. RNAcentral describes it as "partial 16S ribosomal RNA". It matches the Rfam family "Bacterial small subunit ribosomal RNA", at positions 28 to 507 of the family's 1533-position model. The record is from RNAcentral.